Equus caballus (horse) is the source of this 1890-nucleotide long non-coding RNA. The record is from Ensembl. NCBI's taxonomy places the organism in Eukaryota, Metazoa, Chordata, Mammalia, Perissodactyla, Equidae.
CUGCUGCUGCCACUCCCCACUGAUUGCACUCUGGGCCAGGAACUUAAUCCUGCUGUCACUGCUACCCAAGAGCUGGACACCUCCGUUUCCACCCUUGCCCUGCACAGUGGAUUCUGGACAUCGCCUCCUGACUCAAAUUCCUCCCUUUGAAAGUGAGGUCUCUUAUGAGUGACUCUGACUGGUGAGGUCCGAGUCACAUGUCUGUGCCCAGCUGCAAAGGAGACUGGGUAACCAAGUUUCUGAUUUCUGCCUUGGGGAGGUGUGACUCAUGAGGCUGGAGGCUCUGGAACUCGCCAAGGAUGUUUGUGUGACGUCAAACCAACUAACAACGAACAUGAUAAAGUCUGCUGCAAGGACGGUAAGUCCACAAGAACAGGAAAUGUCUUUUCUUUGCUGGUGGACCUCCUGCCCAUAGCUUGUGCCUGGCACAAGGUAGACAGUCCUUAGCUCCUUAUUGAAUGAAUGAAUAAAUGGCAGCAAGAGGGUGAUGCUCACUGUGGGGCUUGGACAUGAUGUCCUUUCAUUUACGGGUAUUUUGGGAGAGAGUUAAGCCACCUGGACAGCAAUUUGUGUCUUAUUUGGACCAUCUUGCCAACCAGUCUGCAAUCUGUGUCACUGGUCUGAUUCUCUACUCUUUGCGGGAUGGGCAGUGGUGUGGUCCCUGGGAUUAGGCAGAAAGCAACUGACCCAGUUCAACAGAGAGGGUUGAAGCAAACACGGUUAACGAUGAAAACCUGUAUUGAUUGCAACAAUCUCUACUUUACUCCACUGUUCCUCCAGCGGAUACUGUCUACCCAGCACCCAGUUCCCACUUCCUCCUCCCUCACAGGACCCCGUGUUUGUUUGUGCCUCUGGGAGAAGCUGGCCCCACCCCCAGCUCCUGGCUGACCUGAUUGGUCUGAGGUAAUUCCAUUUUUCUUGCCAGCGAUUGGUCAGGAAUGGGCCAAUGAGAUGCAAGGAGAUGUAAUGAGGGGUAGGGGGAAGUCUUUACACUCUGCAAGAGUCUCUGAGAGUUGUUCUCUUCUGUUUUUUUCUGAACGCUGUCGUGGGUGGAUCUAAGGCUCUGAACUGCCCUAGUCAUCUUGUGGUCUGGUCUGAAGAUGAUGGAUACACGAAAAAGAAUCACAGGACCAGGUUUCCAGAUCAUACCAGAUCUCCACCAGAUUCUGCCCUACCUCCAGGUUCCAGAGCUAGAGCAAAGUCACUGGGACAAACACCCCCGCCUCUCAGCUGAGGACACCACCCGAAGUUUGACCUGCGUCAGCCGUCCAUGUUUGCAGUUCCGCAGACCCAGCCUCUGGAGCCGGGGAGGAAGGGGAAGAGAGAAAGCACAGGGUUCCUCAGCGACUAGUUAGUUCCAGGUUAUUCCACACAGGAAGAGGGAAAGCAGAAUCAGCCUCCUUCAGAGCCUCUGCUCCCCCAGGGGGAAACUCCCAGAAGAACAAGCAGCAAGCAUCUCAGGGGCCCUGCUGCCCUGUUAGUCCAGUGGGAGGACUGCAUCCCAAGGACCCCCAAUGUCCUCUGCUUCUCUCCCACCCUCUGGUCUAUGCCCACUCAGAGGACUGAGUUGGGGGAGUCAGCUGCCCAGCGCAGGGCUCAGUUUCCCCAUCUCUUUCUAGAAAUGGUCACUCUCUAGAGACAGGUAGGUGGAGAACGCAGACCUCUGCUGGAUCCAGGGGCAUGGGUCCUUUUCCUUGUGGAUGAGAUACCCAGAAGGUGGGAGAAACGAUGUUCAGGAUGUGAAGUCAAUCACGUAGCAGCCUGGCAAGAUGUGGGGGAGGCAGGAACACAUCUUCCCGAAGGGUUAUCUGGGAGUGGUUUCCCCAGGGAGACAGUGGGUGGAGGGAGGGAGGUAGGAGGUGGCAGCUCUCUUGCCUUGCCCUGCACCUG